Molecule: long non-coding RNA, 961 nt
Filed under: Mytilus galloprovincialis (Mediterranean mussel)
Lineage: Eukaryota; Metazoa; Mollusca; Bivalvia; Mytilida; Mytilidae
Source: RNAcentral
AAAGAAGAUGUGGUGUGAAAUCCAUUUCAUGGUGCAAUGGGUAUUGCAUAUCUUUAAAGAUGCUAUUACUUCAGAUUUCUACCUGUAAUUACUAAGAUUUAAAAAACAACUGCAUAAUAAAAGUAUUUGAACCAAAAUUGUUAGUUAGAGCAUAUGAUUAACUUCGUAUCUAAAUCCUUUUUGAAUUAAAAAACACAAAAACAAGUCUCUUUUGAAGUUCUUAUACCAAGAAAUUUGAAAGAACUACUUGAUUAUCUAAAUCAUUCAAGCGCUUAACAUUAUCAUGUUAUAACCUUAAUUGAAACAUCAAAAUAAUCAAUGUCUCCAAACUGACAAUGAGCAGAAACUCAUAAAAAAAGUUGUUGACCCGUAAUAAUGUAAUUUCAGGAUAAAAUUGUAGAAAUUUCUCAGGAAACUCAUUAGUGUGCAUCUCAAAUAUGCAAGUGGAAAAAAAUAUGUAACCCUACACCUAGUUUCUGUGGGACUGUGGUCAGUCAAAGUCACCAAUGGCAAUCACUAUAUACAUACUAGUGUAUUCUGAAAUAUAUAUUAUACUAGUAGCUAGCCACCAGUAAAACAAUUGCAUAAUACCAAUUAUAUGGCAAAGCAAAAUGUGAGAAUGUUCAAAUAACAUCAAAAUGGUCCAUGCCUGUUUAAAAUUAUUGUAAAUUCGAUAUUUAUAUUAUUGGGAAAAAUGCGACAGGGUUUUAUUCACAAAAAUUUAAACUAGCCUUUUCAAAUUUUUUAUAUAAAGUAAACAGGAUUUGUCUCAAUGUUGCAAAAAUUAAAAUCGCACCUUAAGUCUAAAAUGAUCAUAUUGCAAUAAUAAAUACAUGCAUUAUUUCUGAAUUUACAAUAACCGGUUUGAUAGUCAAAAUGCAUCUUAUUGUAAUUUUCUUAAUUAUAUUUACAUUUGACCAACAGCAAUACACUACCAUAUAUUGCAGAUCUUUUCAAGAUA